GAGCUUCCCAUGGCGCCUGUUUAUCAAAAACAUGGUUUUUUGUAAUGAUAAAAAAUCUAGCCUGCUCCAUGCGUAUGUAAAUAGCCGCAGUAUUUUGACUGUGCUAAGGUAGCAUAAUCAUUUGUCUUUUAAAUGGGGUCUGGAAUGAAAGGUUGGUCGAAGGAAAUUCUUUCUUUUUAUUUAGAAAUGAAUUUAAUUAACUAGUAAAAAGGCUAGUAUAAACUUGAGGGACGAUAAGACCCUAUUGAGCUUAAUUUUAUAAUUUUACUGGGGUGGUAUAGUAAGAGAAAAAUCUUAUUUAAAAUAAAUAAAACUUAUUGACCCAAUAUUAUUGAGGAGAAGAUCAAGCUACCAUAGGGAUAACAGCCUAAUUUUUCUUUGAAGCUCUUAUUUAAAGAAAAGAUUGGGACCUCGAUGUUGAAUUAAAGAUUCUUUUUAGUGAAGGUGCUAAUUUAGAAAGUCUGUUCGACUUUUAAUUUUUUACGUGAUCUGAGUUCAGACCGGCCAUGGGAGC
This 514-nucleotide ribosomal RNA is filed under the name Songthela wosanensis. RNAcentral's name for it is "partial 16S ribosomal RNA". It matches the Rfam family "Bacterial large subunit ribosomal RNA", at positions 1783 to 2626 of the family's 2925-position model. Lineage: Eukaryota; Metazoa; Arthropoda; Arachnida; Araneae; Liphistiidae. The record is from RNAcentral.